AUGGUGAGAAUUGGGGCAUAUCCAAAAAAUAGGGGAUCCGCCCCUUUCUUCUAAUUGUCUCUGAUCAUUGGUCGAUCACCAAUGAUCAUGACCUUCGGUGAAGACAGGUAGGAAGAUGGAGGUCCAGACCUAUGGUUGAGUCACUGCAAACGAUGAUGUCGGUGGUUGAAAAUAAGAAAGAGGGGGCUCAGUCGAAUAGAGUAAAAUAGGGUUCUUAUUUCUUUAUGGGUUUUUUGGCAAAGCCGACAGUCAAUGAGGGUGCACGAUGCCAUGGGAAGGAGCGA
Molecule: long non-coding RNA, 284 nt
Filed under: Elaeis guineensis (African oil palm)
Lineage: Eukaryota; Viridiplantae; Streptophyta; Magnoliopsida; Arecales; Arecaceae
Description: long non-coding RNA (EGUI_LNC037003)
Source: RNAcentral